UGGGGAAUCUUGCGCAAUGGGCGAAAGCCUGACGCAGCGACGCCGCGUGGGUGAUGAAGGCCUUCGGGUUGUAAAGCCCUGUGGGGAGAGACGAAUAAGUUCGAGCCAACACCUCGAGCGAUGACGGUAUCUCCUUAGCAAGCACCGGCUAACUCUGUGCCAGCAGCCGCGGUAAGACAGAGGGUGCGAACGUUGUUCGGAAUUACUGGGCGUAAAGCGCAUGUAGGCGGCCGAGCAGGUCGGAUGUGAAAGCCCUGGGCUCAACCCAGGAAGUGCAUUCGAAACCGCUCGGCUCGAGUCCCGGAGAGGAAGUUGGAAUUCUCGGUGUAGAGGUGAAAUUCGUAGAUAUCGGGAGGAACACCGGCGGCGAAAGCGGACUUCUGGACGAGGACUGACGCUGAGAUGCGAAAGCGUGGGGAGCAAACAG
Molecule: ribosomal RNA, 427 nt
Filed under: uncultured bacterium
Lineage: Bacteria
Description: bacterial SSU rRNA
Rfam family: Bacterial small subunit ribosomal RNA
Source: RNAcentral